GAUGAACGCUGGCGGCGUGCCUAAUACAUGCAAGUCGAACGCAUCCCGUUAAAUGAAGUGCUUGCACGGAUUUUAACAUUGGAUGAGUGGCGAACUGGUGAGUAACACGUGGGUAACCUGCCCGGAAGCAGGGGAUAACACUUGGAAACAGGUGCUAAUACCGUAUAACAACAAAAACCGCAUGGUUUUUGUUUGAAAGGUGGUUUCGGCUAUCACUUCUGGAUGGACCCGCGGCGUAUUAGCUAGUUGGUGGAGUAAUGGUUCACCAAGGCAAUGGUACGUAGCCGACCUGAGAGGGUAAUCGGCCACAUUGGGACUGAGACACGGCCCAAACUCCUACGGGAGGCAGCAGUAGGGAAUCUUCCACAAUGGACGAAAGUCUGAUGGAGCAACGCCGCGUGAGUGAAGAAGGUUUUCGGAUCGUAAAACUCUGUUGUUGAAGAAGAACACGUUUGAGAGUAACUGUUCAGACGUUGACGGUAUUCAACCAGAAAGCCACGGCUAACUACGUGCCAGCCGCCGCCGUAA
RNAcentral lists this ribosomal RNA (528 nucleotides) under uncultured bacterium. RNAcentral describes it as "partial 16S ribosomal RNA". It matches the Rfam family "Bacterial small subunit ribosomal RNA", at positions 28 to 523 of the family's 1533-position model. The record is from RNAcentral.